GACGAACGCUGGCGGCGUGCUUAACACAUGCCAGUCGAACGGAAAGGCCCUGCUUUUGUGGGGUGCUCGAGUGGCGAACGGGUGAGUAACACGUGAGUAACCUGCCCUUGACUUUGGGAUAACUUCAGGAAACUGGGGCUAAUACCGGAUAGGAGCUCCUGCUGCAUGGUGGGGGUUGGAAAGUUUCGGCGGUUGGGGAUGGACUCGCGGCUUAUCAGCUUGUUGGUGGGGUAGUGGCUUACCAAGGCUUUCACGGGUAGCCGGCCUGAGAGGGUGACCGGCCACAUUGGGACUGAGAUACGGCCCAGACUCCUACGGGAGGCAGCAGUGGGGAAUAUUGCACAAUGGGCGGAAGCCUGAUGCAGCAACGCCGCGUGCGGGAUGACGGCCUUCGGGUUGUAAACCGCUUUCGCCUGUGACGAAGCGUGAGUGACGGUAAUGGGUAAAGAAGCACCGGCUAACUACGUG
Molecule: ribosomal RNA, 468 nt
Filed under: uncultured bacterium
Lineage: Bacteria
Description: partial 16S ribosomal RNA
Rfam family: Bacterial small subunit ribosomal RNA
Source: RNAcentral